RNAcentral lists this ribosomal RNA (466 nucleotides) under uncultured bacterium. RNAcentral's name for it is "partial 16S ribosomal RNA". It matches the Rfam family "Bacterial small subunit ribosomal RNA", at positions 28 to 507 of the family's 1533-position model. The record is from RNAcentral.
GACGAACGCUGGCGGCGCGCCUAACACAUGCAAGUCGAACGAGCGAGAGAGAGCUUGCUUUCUUGAGCGAGUGGCGAACGGGUGAGUAACGCGUGAGGAACCUGCCUCAAAGAGGGGGACAACAGUUGGAAACGACUGCUAAUACCGCAUAAGCCCACGGUGCCGCAUGGCACAGAGGGAAAAGGAGCAAUCCGCUUUGAGAUGGCCUCGCGUCCGAUUAGCUAGUUGGUGAGGUAACGGCCCACCAAGGCGACGAUCGGUAGCCGGACUGAGAGGUUGAACGGCCACAUUGGGACUGAGACACGGCCCAGACUCCUACGGGAGGCAGCAGUGGGGAAUAUUGCACAAUGGGGGAAACCCUGAUGCAGCGACGCCGCGUGGAGGAAGAAGGUCUUCGGAUUGCAAACUCCUGUUGUUGGGGAAGAUAAUGACGGUACCCAACAAGGAAGAGACGGCUAACUACGUG